AGGUGUGUAAUGCAGUGGUUAGUGUGUUGGACUAAGACCUCGGAGACUGGGGUUCGAAUCCCCAUUCAGCCA
Non-coding RNA from Podarcis lilfordi (Lilford's wall lizard), 72 nucleotides. Lineage: Eukaryota; Metazoa; Chordata; Lepidosauria; Squamata; Lacertidae. The record is from the annotation of a GenBank genome assembly.